This 433-nucleotide ribosomal RNA is filed under the name uncultured bacterium. Its description in RNAcentral is "partial 16S ribosomal RNA". It matches the Rfam family "Bacterial small subunit ribosomal RNA", at positions 29 to 507 of the family's 1533-position model. The record is from RNAcentral.
AACGAACGCUGGCGGCAGGCCUAACACAUGCAAGUCGAGCGAGGACUUCGGUUCUAGCGGCGGACGGGUGAGUAACGCGUGGGAAUGUGCCCUUCUCUACGGAAUAGCCCUGGGAAACUGGGAGUAAUACCGUAUACGCCCUAUUGGGGAAAGAUUUAUCGGAGAAGGAUCAGCCCGCGUUGGAUUAGGUAGUUGGUGGGGUAAUGGCCUACCAAGCCGACGAUCCAUAGCUGGUUUGAGAGGAUGAUCAGCCACACUGGGACUGAGACACGGCCCAGACUCCUACGGGAGGCAGCAGUGGGGAAUCGUAGACAAUGGGGGCAACCCUGAUCGAGCCAUGCCGCGUGAGUGAUGAAGGCCUUAGGGUUGUAAAGCUCUUUCAGCUGGGAAGAUAAUGACGGUACCAGCAGAAGAAGCCCCGGCUAACUCCGUG